Molecule: long non-coding RNA, 4792 nt
Organism: Crotalus tigris (Tiger rattlesnake)
Lineage: Eukaryota; Metazoa; Chordata; Lepidosauria; Squamata; Viperidae
Exons: 4
Source: RefSeq, a predicted model, not a curated record
UAGAAAGAAAGAGAAAGAAACAACUUCAGUCUAGCAGAAUUUAUUUUAGAUAAAUACUUUUAUUAUUUCUCAGUAUAGUUAGAAAAGGCAUAGUUUGACUGGUUCAUGCCUAUAAAAGAAUUUUUACACAGAAUCAUACACACCAAAGGUACUCUUUCUAGAUACAGGCAAUAAUAAAUACUGUUUCGCUGAAUUAAAACUGAAAAUAUCAAAUGCAUUUGGUUGUAGGCUUAUAUUAUCAAAUGCAUUUGGCUGUGUGCUUAUAUUAUGAAUGCAUGAAGCUUGGAAGGGACAUUUUGCUUCAAGAUAGGAUCAAACAAAGCACCUUCCAAAACUACUUUGUAGAGUGAUGUAGCCCUUGCUUAUAACAACUGAGAAAAGGGAUUGCCUGCUUCAAUUUGACUUAAUCCUAAAGUUUUUCAGGCAAUGGUAUAGAAGAUAGCUUCAUAAUGUACUAUAUGUAUUAUAAACAUAUCUUUGGUGUCUGAGUGCAUACAAAGAUGUCUUGGUAAAAAAAACAUUGUUAUUUCUACCUAAUGUCCCUAGAGAGGGUGGGGUGUCACACUGCAUCAAAAUAAAUGCCCUUCUGAUAGAGUGCUGAAAGUUGAUCCAGGGUAGUGUAGAUAUAGGUAUUAAAAGUUUUGCCAUUUCAAAUAUGGAAGAAGAAAUAACUUUCUGGAACAGCAGAGAAGUAACAAUCAUUGACAUGUUAUCAUGUCAGAUAAUUACCAUAUAAUCUUGCUAUUCGCUGUGAAGAUUUUAAUGCAGCUCAGAUCUAAACAAUGAUCAUUUUUCUUUAACAGGUUCUUUUGCCUUUCUCUUUAGGGUAUGUAGCCAUCCUCAGUAAGCUCAAACUGAAUCCUCAUCUAAUAAGUAUUUUCAAUUAACAUGAUAAAAUAAAUUACUGAGCACUGUCACCUAUUCUUAAAUAAUUCCAAAUUCCUCAGUUAAAACUCUACAUUGGGAAUCAUCCAUAUCUAUCCCACAAAUAGAUAUUGUGGGAAUAUCUAAAGUCUAAUCCCAAUCCUGCUCAGAAACAGUGUAAUAAAUCUUUCCAACCCUGGUUUGCUAAACUGUAAUUUUAUUGCAUUUUGAGUACAAAUUGCAUUCUGAGCAAAGACUGAGUGAAUACAGCUGCAAAUUAGCACAAUGAUCAGCACUCCCAAAAAUCUGCUUAUAGAGAAAUAAAACAAACAGCUGCCCCUUUUACUAUGAAACCAAGGCAAUUUCUUUAAUAUUAGAGUUUCAUGGUAUAUAAGUAAUAUAAUAGUAUUAUAAUGUAUAAAAUUAUAAUAUAAAAUACAAUAUAAAAUUAUUUUACUUAUAUGUAAUAGCAAUAUAAGUAAAGUUUAUAUUUAAGUCCCUCCAAUCAGUUCAUCUGUUUAUCUCAUUUCUAUAGUCAUGUCCUAGCCUACUAAUUUUUUAACAUAUUAUAUGUGGAAUGGCUAAUGUUCUUCGUAGUUAUAAGAACAUUCCUAUUAAUAUGUCCAAGUAUCUUCAUGUAAAAAAAAUAUAUUAACAAACUUCUACUAUAUUUUCUAAGAUACCUUCUUAUGAUUAAACUAAUGCCCUGUAAUGGUCCUCUUCUUGGUCACAGCCCCUCUCCUCUUCAUUUAACAAAGCAGUUUUACCAUAUUUACAAAAUUUGCUCAUAUCCAAACAUGGACCACAAUCACUGCUACAAAGAUGUCUUAGGAAGUUUGUGCAUUUUUAUCAAAAUAACUGAAAUACAAAACUAUGUUUUUCAUGAUUUGGUAUCUUUUGAAGAACUGGAAUAGCAAAACGAAAUGAACAGCCUGAAACAAUGUUAAAUUUAAAAAAACUAAAUACUUUAAAUUAAAUUUUAAAAGUUCUCAUUAUGGUUAACAAUGCAUGUAAACUUCUCACCACAAUGAAAUGAGUAGAAUGCAUUCAAGGGCAGAAAUAUUUUAAGACAAUUGUAAUUAUUACACUAGCCCUUAAAUCAAAACAAGAACCUUAAUCUAUAUCUGGAAUACUUUUAUCAUUAUUUAUUAAAUGUAUAUACCACCCAUCUCCUCAAUAAGGUGACUCUGAGUGGCUUUUUAAAAAUUUAAAUCUAUGCAAAUUAAAUGUUUAAAACUAUGUAAAAAAAACCAGAUACCAAGAGAUGAACACUACAAGGAUGAGGUCAAGCCAACCAAUAAAACCUAAUUUUACCCUCCCAGAAGGCCAAAAAGGUGGUAGCGGUUUUCAGUUCCCAUGGUAAAGUGGAAAAGGCUCUUCUCCUUGACCCCACCUGCUGAAAUUCCUUAACAGACAUUACACUUCUGCUGGUGCAAGUGGGGCACAUCAGUCCCAUAGGAGGUUAUAUCAUUUAUUGUCAAGUUCACUAAUUUUGUGAUUUGCUAGAACAAAAUGUUUGCAUAAGCAGGGCUUCUCACUGGAGCAAAGGGACUUUCCAUGGCAAGCUUCAUAUUGCUGAGACAACAGGAAGAUACUGCAGCUGCUCUAUAGAAUCUGGGAUUUCCUGAUGCAGAUACCUGCUGAAUUCCUUCAAGUUUGUAUAGAUCCAGAGGUCUGUGUGUGUAUGUGGAAGGAAUGGGAUUUACUGGUGUAUGGCAAUGUAUAUUAGUUACAGCCUAAUAAGGGCAUAGACAUUUUGUCUCCCAGUAGGAUGCAUGGUAUGCAAGUUUUCUUCCUUUGAUGUUGACUUUAAUAAACAAUUAAAUUUAACCCUUUUUAACAUAGAUCUCAGCCGGAUUCUAAUAUGCUUCUAACCAGUCAAGCAGGAUGUCGAGUUCUCCAAGGGACUUCAUUGCAGCUGAUGCAACAUCCAUCUGAAAAUUGAUUAAAAUGAACAUUUGGUAACAGAAAAAGCAACUUGGGAUGGGAUAUGAAUGCCAUACUCAGCAGUUUGAAAGUGGGCAACUUGCUGAGGAAGGAGUUGGCUAUACCACUGACUUUCCGAUUGAUUAGAAGGCUUUCUGUUUCACAGUGCCUGAAGACUUUGUCCAGAUAAAAUCUUAAGAUGAGGUGACCAUUUAAAUACAACUUGGCAGCCAACAAAGGAAAGCUUUGGAAUGUUUCUUCAAGUACUACAAUAGGCUAGAACUUGCCAUGUGUGGCAAUUCUCCUCUACAGACAGUACAUUCCCUACCCAACAUUUUCAUGGAAAAGUAAUUCAAUUGUUACCAGAGUAGAAAAAGGCUGAGCAAACUGCAGCAUGGUGAUUCUGCUCUCUAGUUAUUGAUAAAUGCUAUUAUUUUAGGUAGUAUGGUCAAUGUAUAAUAUGGUUUUUAUAUAUAGAUACAUGCACAAUCAUGCUUUGACACAUAUGUUAUAUCACUCUUCUUCCAUAUCACUUGUGACAGUAAUUUUGUGAGAUUAAGCUAGCAGGCAAUGAUCACAGGGCUAAGCAAACAUCUAAACCUUAGGCAUCCCUGUUUUAAAUCUAUUCCUAGAAUUAUCCACUAGUUGGAUUGUAUUUUGCAGCACAAUAGCCAAUGAAAUAAAUAAUAAAAUAAACAAUGGCAUACAUAAUAUACAAUUGGAAUAUGAUCAUCUAUGUAGGUCUCAGCACAAAAAGAUACUUCAUAAGCACUGACAUUUACUUAAUUCAAAAAUCUGCUGAUUUAAUUGAAAGUAAUAUCUUACUAUAAAGAAAAAUGCAACCCAAACUUACAAAGAUUAGGACUUACUUGAAAAUCAUGCAAAGAAUAUGGCUGCAACAAAAUACUUGUGGUUCUGAUGGGAUCUCUGCCUUGCUAAAUAGGAAACAGAUAACAUUAAUUCUGAAUAUAUAAUAUUAGCUGCUGAAAUCAUUACAGAUAAAUAGGCAGCAUUUACAAAAUUACCAUGGUAUCUGGAGAAUAAAACCAUUUUAAUUACAUUGGUAAACUACAAAUUUUGGAAAAAAUUAAGUUUCUUAAAGUUUGCAUGUUUGAAUUUGUUGCCAAAAGAGAACUGAAACAAAAUAUACCUCUUGUAUUGGAUACAAGCAAACAUGCACCCAACACAAAGACAUUCAAGUGAAUUUGGAUCCAAUGUCCUUUUCUUUGCAUCUGCAUAUCUAAAAGAGGAUUUCUAUCUUAUGUAAGGGGAUGUGAUGGCUCAGUGAGUAAGACACUGGGCUUGUCGACUGGAAAGCUGACAGCCCAGAUUCAUGACCUGAGCACCGCACAACGGGGUGACUUCCCAUUACUUGCCUCAACUACUGCCCACCUAGCAGUUCAAAAGCAAGCAAAUAUGAGUAGAUAAACAGGUACCACUUCAUGGGAAGGUAACAGCAUUCACUGCACCUCGACAUAUAGUCAUGCUGGCCUCAUGGUCAUAGAAAUGUCUUUGCACAGGAUUGUCACCCUUGGCUAAGAAGCGGAAAGGAGCACCGUUCCCUAGUGUCGGACACGACUGGACAUGGGAAAUCUUUACUUUUAUCCUAUGUAAAUGGUUUAAUGAGACUUCUAUUUAUUUUUUACCUUGAGAGAUUCACCUAUUUAAAGCUAUUUGUCCAAUUGCAUGCAUCUUUUAAGAAAUACUUUCAUAAUCCUGCCUACAAGAAAUUGCUAUUGUUGUUCUUACUGUUUUUAUUCAAAGAAGGCUACUGAACACAAACAAGUCUUGCAAGAAACUUUUUGUAAGUUUCUAAGCUUCUUUUCCACUUGUUUUCCAGAAAGUGUUCUGGAAGCAGACAACAAUACUUACAAUAAAGGUUUUGACAAUAGCAAAGCUAUUACGAAUUUCAUUAAUAUUCAUUGAAAUACUGCAAGGUCCAAACUGGAAAAUCUUGUCCCCAGUCACUGAUGCCAAAUAUAAGGACCAUUUGGUGAACAAA